AAAAAAAAUCGUUGAUACAGUUCUUACCAUAGGAGGUUGGUGGCACCUUCAUUGUGGAGAACGGACUCAUGGUAAUGCCUGGAGCAGUAUCAAAUACAAACAUAUGGUUUCCGAUUGGAGCUAGCACCAUGGAAACCACAAGAAAGAAGAAGAGGGUGUGUAGAUGGAUUCAUUGUUUGGUAAAUCCAUUUAUACAGACACUGCGUCCCAAAUGGCUCCAUAUCCCCUAUAUCCCUCAAACUCAACUCUGGACCUCGAAGACAAUUCCACUGCAUGUUUUCAUUGUUUCCCUCUAAUCUGAUUUAGACCUGGGAAACCAGAUGUGUGCAAUUAAUUAUCAGCGAGAACAGAAAGCCAGCAGGCUCCGGACCUCGUAGGAAGAGCUACCUGAACGUGAGAUGCCUGCCAGCCUGCCUGCCUGCCUUAGCCUCCAAAGGAACCAAGUUUAUGGUUUGCUGCCCCUCAGGUUGACAACAGCACUUAUUUAUGCAAAGCACAACCCUGUUGUCUAUGGAAAUCAGUAACAGUCAGUAACUGCCUGUCUGUGUCCCUGCCGGCCUGUCUUUCUGCCUGCCUGCCUGCCUACAUACCACAAACACAGGACAGUUUGAAAUGCACUGCUGCUGCUCUUGCUUUGCGAUUCCUUUUGUGUUUCACAAAUGGAGGAGGAGGAGGAGGAGAUGGGCGUAGGCUGUCAGGUGAUGUAGGCUUUGUGAUAAGUCUGUUGGAAAACCCCACAGAAAAGGGGCAUGCGGAGUCUGCUAGCGUUGCACGCCACAGUCAUAAAUAUUUCUGUCUUUUUCAUUCCCUCUCUCUAUCACCACCCUCUCCCACUCUGCACAAUGAUAAUGGCUCUACAGCUGCAGCAUUGGGCAGAAACUGUGAUUUUUAUUUUGUACUCCCUUCACUUCAGGCUGUGGAAAUGUGUCCUCCUUGUCUCUCAAUUGAACAUUUAAUAAAUAGAAAAUAACA
Long non-coding RNA from Oncorhynchus gorbuscha (pink salmon), 972 nucleotides. RefSeq lists it as uncharacterized. The record is from RefSeq and is a predicted model, not a curated record. The transcript is spliced from 4 exons. Lineage: Eukaryota; Metazoa; Chordata; Actinopteri; Salmoniformes; Salmonidae.